UACGUAGGGGGCAAGCGUUGUCCGGAAUUAUUGGGCGUAAAGAGCUCGUAGGCGGUUUGUCGCGUCUGCUGUGAAAACUCGGGGCCUAACCCCGGGCCUGCAGUGGGUACGGGCAGACUAGAGUGCGGUAGGGGAGACUGGAAUUCCUGGUGUAGCGGUGAAAUGCGCAGAUAUCAGGAGGAACACCGGUGGCGAAGGCGGGUCUCUGGGCCGUAACUGACGCUGAGGAGCGAAAGCGUGGGGAGCGAACAGG
Molecule: ribosomal RNA, 253 nt
Filed under: uncultured bacterium
Lineage: Bacteria
Description: partial 16S ribosomal RNA
Rfam family: Bacterial small subunit ribosomal RNA
Source: RNAcentral